GCGUGUGUGAAGAAGGCCUGCGGGUUGUAAAGCACUUUCAGUAGGGAGGAAAAGCCUGAUGAUAAUACCAUCGGGUCUUGACGUUACCUACAGAAGAAGCACCGGCUAACUCCGUGCCAGCAGCCGCGGUAAUACGGAGGGUGCGAGCGUUAAUCGGAAUUACUGGGCGUAAAGCGCGCGUAGGCGGCUCAGUCAGUCGGGUGUGAAAGCCCCGGGCUUAACCUGGGAAUUGCAUUCGAUACUGCUGGGCUGGAGUAUGGUAGAGGGAAGUGGAAUUUCCGGUGUAGCGGUGAAAUGCGU
Molecule: ribosomal RNA, 300 nt
Filed under: uncultured bacterium
Lineage: Bacteria
Description: bacterial SSU rRNA
Rfam family: Bacterial small subunit ribosomal RNA
Source: RNAcentral